AAUUCAAAAAACGAUUCAGUAUAGCGAAUAAUGAUAUUUUGGAAAUUUACGUUUCCAAAAUGGGCACCAUUCAAGAUGGCCACCUAAUAUUUCAAUAGUCCUCAGUUGAUAUUCUUUGUCAUAAGAUAAACGAAAGUUUAUCAAAAUUGGUAAAGUAAUAUAUUUUUCAUAUUUUUUCUAAUAAUUUUUAUCAAUUUUGGGACAUGAUUUCAAAAUGGCCGCCCA
RNAcentral lists this long non-coding RNA (225 nucleotides) under Mytilus galloprovincialis (Mediterranean mussel). The record is from RNAcentral. Lineage: Eukaryota; Metazoa; Mollusca; Bivalvia; Mytilida; Mytilidae.